GCCUACGGGACGCAGCAGUGGGGAAUAUUGCACAAUGGGGGGAACCCUGAUGCAGCGACGCCGCGUGAGUGAAGAAGUAUUUCGGUCUGUAAAGCUCUAUCAGCAGGGAAGAAGAUGACGGUACCUGACUAAGAAGCCCCGGCUAACUACGUGCCAGCAGCCGCGGUAAUACGUAGGGGGCAAGCGUUAUCCGGAUUUACUGGGUGUAAAGGGAGCGUAGACGGCAGGGCAAGUCUGGAGUGAAAGCCCGGGGCCCAACCCCG
RNAcentral lists this ribosomal RNA (263 nucleotides) under uncultured bacterium. Its description in RNAcentral is "partial 16S ribosomal RNA". It matches the Rfam family "Bacterial small subunit ribosomal RNA", at positions 337 to 617 of the family's 1533-position model. The record is from RNAcentral.